GCGCUCUAAGACUAUGCAUAUUUGGGCAUAGUUUGGGAAAGCCUCAGAAGAAAAAAAAACACGCAUUCCAAAGAAAGGUAGAAAGGUAAAUGUAUGGAAAUACUUUGCUUGGAACUCACGACUUUGUAUUCGGGACCCACGCCUUUUUACCCACGACCCACGCCUUUUUACCCACGACCCACGCCUUUUUACCCACGACCCACGCCUUUUUACCCACGACCCACGCCUUUUUACCCACGACUCACGACUUUUUACCCACGACCCACGACUUUUUACCCACGACCCACGACAUUCUACCCACGACCCACGACUGUUAGCUAGUCCCAAUUUUCAGGAGGGGUGAGACCACAGCAUUAGUUAAAACAAAAUGGCUUCCAUUUCGUCUAAGAAGAAGCGAAAAGACGAAAUUAUUCAACAAGAUAGCGACGAAAGUUCUUCAAGCGAUGAAGAAAGCGGUAAUUCUGAAUCAGAUAUCGAUCCUGAACUGGUAAGAAAUGUAAUAAAUCGCGUGUAUUAAGAGAUAUUUGACUUUGUAUGCUGUACAUAUUCGAAUCAGUAUUCGGCUGCACUUUUGCACGUGGUGUUAAGCGGUGUUUGUUUAUAUCUUUAAUUUGUAACAACAAAUUUAGGAAAUUCAAGUUGAAUUUGAAGCAAGAGCUCCUGAAGCUUCAGAUUUUGCUGGAAUAAAAAGAUUAUUACAGCAAGUAAGUAAAUCAAAAAAUCAACACU
Paramuricea clavata is the source of this 729-nucleotide non-coding RNA. Lineage: Eukaryota; Metazoa; Cnidaria; Anthozoa; Malacalcyonacea; Plexauridae. The record is from the annotation of a GenBank genome assembly.